CAGCAGCCGCGGGAAUACAGAGGGUGCGGGCGUUAAUCGGAUUUACUGGGCGUAAAGCGUGCGUAGGCGGCUUUUUAAGUCGGAUGUGAAAUCCCCGAGCUUAACUUGGGAAUUGCAUUCGAUACUGGGAAGCUAGAGUAUGGGAGAGGAUGGUAGAAUUCCAGGUGUAGCGGUGAAAUGCGUAGAGAUCUGGAGGAAUACCGAUGGCGAAGGCAGCCAUCUGGCCUAAUACUGACGCUGAGGUACGAAAGCAUGGGGAGCAAACAGGAUUAGAUACCCCCGUAGUCCCUGUCUCUUAUAC
RNAcentral lists this ribosomal RNA (301 nucleotides) under uncultured bacterium. RNAcentral describes it as "partial 16S ribosomal RNA". It matches the Rfam family "Bacterial small subunit ribosomal RNA", at positions 509 to 807 of the family's 1533-position model. The record is from RNAcentral.